GUACACAAGCACACACAUUACACAGAGAGGUACACAACUCCACAUUACACAGAGAGGUACACAAGCACACACAUUACACAGAGAGGUACACAACUCCACAUUACACAGAGAGGGACACAAGCACACACAUUACACAGAGAGGUACACAAGCACACACAUUACACAGAGAGGUACACAAGCACACACAUUACACAAAGAUGUACACAACUACACAUACACACAUUACACAAAGAGGUACACAACUACACAUACACAUUACACAGAGAGGUACACAACCAGACACACACAUUAGACAGGGAGGUACAUAACUACAGACACAUUACACAGAGACGUAAACAACUACACAGUUACACAACACUGCAGGUUGUUAUGCACAAAACAUUACACAAUGCACACUUUUACACCACACAAGGGAAUAAAAUGUGUUUGUGUUAGUAAGUCAUAAGCUUCAAAGGCUGC
This is a long non-coding RNA of Ictalurus punctatus (channel catfish), 459 nucleotides long. The record is from Ensembl. NCBI's taxonomy places the organism in Eukaryota, Metazoa, Chordata, Actinopteri, Siluriformes, Ictaluridae.